Molecule: long non-coding RNA, 199 nt
Filed under: Solanum tuberosum (potato)
Lineage: Eukaryota; Viridiplantae; Streptophyta; Magnoliopsida; Solanales; Solanaceae
Description: long non-coding RNA (STUB_LNC005155)
Source: RNAcentral
CCGUCAAAAUAGAAGAAGCAUAGACAAACUUUAUUAAAAGUCUUUGUGUACAUAUUCAAUGCAAAGACCUAUAGAAGCAAAGCAUGUUUAAUUUUGCCUUUCUUCUAUAAGUACUCUUCUUCUAUGUAGUAUUUCUUUUUCUCAUCAAUGUGUUAGGUAUCUUCCUUCUUCAAGCCAACUUCUUUGUGGCUUAUGUUUG